RNAcentral lists this ribosomal RNA (656 nucleotides) under uncultured bacterium. RNAcentral's name for it is "bacterial SSU rRNA". It matches the Rfam family "Bacterial small subunit ribosomal RNA", at positions 167 to 810 of the family's 1533-position model. The record is from RNAcentral.
UACCGCAUAACCAUAGUUACCGCAUGGUAGCUAUGUAAAAGGUGGCUAUGCUACCGCUUUUGGAUGGGCCCGCGGCGCAUUAGCUAGUUGGUGGGGUAAAGGCUUACCAAGGCAAUGAUGCGUAGCCGAACUGAGAGGUUGAUCGGCCACAUUGGGACUGAGACACGGCCCAAACUCCUACGGGAGGCAGCAGUAGGGAAUCUUCCACAAUGGGCGAAAGCCUGAUGGAGCAACGCCGCGUGGGUGAAGAAGGUCUUCGGAUCGUAAAACCCUGUUGUUAGAGAAGAAAGUGCGUGAGAGUAACUGUUCACGUUUCGACGGUAUCUAACCAGAAAGCCACGGCUAACUACGUGCCAGCAGCCGCGGUAAUACGUAGGUGGCAAGCGUUAUCCGGAUUUAUUGGGCGUAAAGGGAACGCAGGCGGUCUUUUAAGUCUGAUGUGAAAGCCUUCGGCUUAACCGGAGUAGUGCAUUGGAAACUGGGAGACUUGAGUGCAGAAGAGGAGAGUGGAACUCCAUGUGUAGCGGUGAAAUGCGUAGAUAUAUGGAAGAACACCAGUGGCGAAAGCGGCUCUCUGGUCUGUAACUGACGCUGAGGUUCGAAAGCGUGGGUAGCAAACAGGAUUAGAUACCCUGGUAGUCCACGCCGUAAACGAC